This 250-nucleotide ribosomal RNA is filed under the name uncultured bacterium. RNAcentral describes it as "partial 16S ribosomal RNA". It matches the Rfam family "Bacterial small subunit ribosomal RNA", at positions 524 to 773 of the family's 1533-position model. The record is from RNAcentral.
UACGUAGGGGGCAAGCGUUAUCCGGAUUUACUGGGUGUAAAGGGAGCGUAGACGGCCCUGCAAGUCUGAAGUGAAAGCCCAGGGCUCAACCUUGGGACUGCUUUGGAAACUGUGGAGCUAGAGUGCAGGAGAGGUAAGUGGAAUUCCUAGUGUAGCGGUGAAAUGCGUAGAUAUUAGGAGGAACACCAGUGGCGAAGGCGGCUUACUGGACUGUAACUGACGUUGAGGCUCGAAAGCGUGGGUAGCAAAC